RNAcentral lists this non-coding RNA (30 nucleotides) under Rattus norvegicus (Norway rat). Lineage: Eukaryota; Metazoa; Chordata; Mammalia; Rodentia; Muridae. The record is from RNAcentral.
UCACAGUAAUGUUUAAGAUUCCAUUUGAUG